GACGAACGCUGGCGGCGUGCCUAAUACAUGCAAGUUGAGCGCUGAAGGUUGGUACUUGUACCAACUGGAUGAGCAGCGAACGGGUGAGUAACGCGUGGGGAAUCUGCCUUUGAGCGGGGGACAACAUUUGGAAACGAAUGCUAAUACCGCAUAAAAACUUUAAACACAAGUUUUAAGUUUGAAAGAUGCAAUUGCAUCACUCAAAGAUGAUCCCUCGUUGUAUUAGCUAGUUGGUGAGGUAAAGGCUCACCAAGGCGAGGAUACAUAGCCGACCUGAGAGGGUGAUUGGCCACAUUGGGACUGAGACACGGCCCAAACUGCUAGGGGAGGCAGCAGUAGGGAAUCGUCGGCCAUGGACGAAAGUCUGACCGAGCAACGCCGCGUGAGUGAAGAAGGUUGUCGGAUCGUAAAACUCUGUUGGUAGAGAAGAACGUUGGUGAGAGUGGAAAGCUCAUCAAGUGACGGUAACUACCCAGAAAGGGACGGCUAACUACGUG
This 497-nucleotide ribosomal RNA is filed under the name uncultured bacterium. Its description in RNAcentral is "partial 16S ribosomal RNA". It matches the Rfam family "Bacterial small subunit ribosomal RNA", at positions 28 to 507 of the family's 1533-position model. The record is from RNAcentral.